This 215-nucleotide unclassified non-coding RNA is filed under the name Hevea brasiliensis (rubber tree). The record is from RNAcentral. Lineage: Eukaryota; Viridiplantae; Streptophyta; Magnoliopsida; Malpighiales; Euphorbiaceae.
ACAAUGGUGAGCAAGUGCACCCAAGGAGGAAAAAAUGAUGAGAAAGUGCAUCAGAAAGAAGAUGAGUAUCAUGGUGAGAAAGUGCACCAGAAAAUCAAUCAAGAAUUGCUGGAGAGAAGUGCUCCAAACAACCAAACAAAUCAAAAAUUUGAAGAUACUUGAAGACUUGACUGCAUUCGUAGCUCCAACAAAAAUCUCAUCAAGGAGGGGUGUUG